ACUGGGAAGAGCUCAUGGCGAAAUCCGCCGUCGUUGCGACGGUCCGGAUAUUUCGCGUAUAGGAGAGACGCUUCCGAACGCCGACUCCGGUGUAAGUCCCCCUGACUGGGGCUCCUACCCCGAGAGGGUGCAAGGCCCGUAGCGGCCGGCGUCGGCUUCGGAUGUCCUCUCCGGGGAGUCGGGUUGCUUGAGAGUGCAGCCCCAAUCGGGUGGUAAACUCCAUCUAAGGCUAAAUACGACCCGGAGACCGAUAGCGAACAAGUACCGUGAGGGAAAGUUGAAAAGGACUUUGAAGAGAGAGUUCAAGAGUACGUGAAACCGUUCGAAGGUAAACGAGUGGGCCCUCGAAGCCGUAAGGCGGGGGGACUCAGCCGGGCGCCUCGGACCCGCCGCCGCGCGCGCGCUUCCCCACCGGGACGCGCCGCGGCGGAACCGGUCCGGGUUCCCGGCGCAUUUCCUCCCGCCCUCGGACGCUGCGACCGGUCGCGCGUGCCACGAGCGGUCGGCCUUACUCGCGGGGACCGGCAGGUAGCGGGGACCGCGCUUCGGCGCCUUCCCCGUGUUUAGCCACCCCGCGAUCGAGAGCCGUUCGCGCGACCGAAGGACUC
This 608-nucleotide ribosomal RNA is filed under the name Calicina mariposa. Its description in RNAcentral is "partial 28S ribosomal RNA". It matches the Rfam family "Eukaryotic large subunit ribosomal RNA", at positions 97 to 543 of the family's 3401-position model. The record is from RNAcentral. Lineage: Eukaryota; Metazoa; Arthropoda; Arachnida; Opiliones; Phalangodidae.